UCACACUAUGUGUUCACACUAUGU
This 24-nucleotide non-coding RNA is filed under the name Arabidopsis thaliana (thale cress). The record is from RNAcentral. Lineage: Eukaryota; Viridiplantae; Streptophyta; Magnoliopsida; Brassicales; Brassicaceae.